This 1092-nucleotide long non-coding RNA is filed under the name Phasianus colchicus (ring-necked pheasant). RNAcentral describes it as "lncRNA (ENSPCLG00000013624.1)". Lineage: Eukaryota; Metazoa; Chordata; Aves; Galliformes; Phasianidae. The record is from RNAcentral.
AUUUGGAUCAGGUCUCCUCUCAGUCUUCUUUUCUCAAGGCUAAACAGACCCAGUUCACUUAGCCUUUCUGCAUAGGGAAAAUGCUCCAGGCACCAUCUUUGUACCAUCUUUGUGCCCUCCGCUGGACUCCUUCCAAGAGAUCCCUGUCUUCUUUGUACUGGGGAGCCCAGAACUGGACACAGUACUCCAGAUGAGGCCUUACCAGGGCAGAGUAGAGGGGGAGGAUCACCUCCCUCGACCUGCUGGCCACGCUCUUUUUAAUGCACUCCAAAAUGCCAUUGGCCUUUUUGGCCACAAGGGCACACUGCUGGCUCGUGGCCAACCUGUCGUCCACCAGGACACCCAGAUCCCUCUCUGCAGAGCUCCAAUCCAGCAGGUCAUCCACCAACCUGUAUCGGUGCAAGCGAUUAUUCUUCCCCAGAUGCAAGAAACUACACUUGCUUUUGUUAAACCUCAUCUGGUUUCUUUCUGCCCAGCUCUCCAGCCUGUCCAGGUCUCGCUGAAUGGCAGCACAGCCUUCAGGUGUGUCAGCCAAUCCUCCCAACUUCGUAUCAUCAGCAAACUUGCUGAGGAUGGCCACUAUCCCCUCAUCAAGGUCAUUGAUGAAGAUGUUGAACAGGACCGGUCCCAGCACCGACCCCUGGGGAACACCGCUGGUUACAGGCCUCCAACCAGACUCUGCACCGCCAAUGACAACCUUCUGUGCUCAGCCAGUCAGCCAGUUCUCAACCCACCUCACUGUCCACUCAUCUAUCCCACACUUCCUCAGCUUUGUUAUAAGGAUGUUGUGGGAGACAGUAUCAAAUGCCUUGCUGAAAUCAAGGUAGACUACAUCCACUGCUCUCCCCCCAUCCACCCAGCCAGUGACAUUGUAGAAGGCUACCAGGUUGGUCAAGCACGACCUCCCCCUGGUGAACCCGUGCUGACUACUCCUGAUAACCUCCUUUUCUUCCAGUUGUCUGGAGAUGGCAACCAGCACAAACUGUUCCAUCACCUUUCCAGGGACAGACAUGAGGUUGACUGGCCUGUAAUUACCUGGAUCUUCCUUCUUGCCCUCUUUGAAGGAGUGACAUUGGCUAUCCUCCAGUCUUC